Molecule: ribosomal RNA, 497 nt
Filed under: uncultured bacterium
Lineage: Bacteria
Description: partial 16S ribosomal RNA
Rfam family: Bacterial small subunit ribosomal RNA
Source: RNAcentral
GAUGAACGCUGGCGGCGUGCCUAAUACAUGCAAGUCGAGCGAACGGAUGAGACGCUUGCUUCUCUGAUGUUAGCGGCGGACGGGUGAGUAACACGUGGAUAACCUACCUAUAAGACUGGGAUAACUUCGGGAAACCGGAGCUAAUACCGGAUAAUAUUUUGAACCGCAUGGUUCAAAAGUGAAAGACGGUCUUGCUGUCACUUAUAGAUGGAUCCGCGCUGCAUUAGCUAGUUGGUAAGGUAACGGCUUACCAAGGCAACGAUGCAUAGCCGACCUGAGAGGGUGAUAGGCCACACGGGAACGGAGACACGGUCCAGACUCCUACGGGAGGCAGCAGUAGGGAAUCUUCCGCAAUGGGCGAAAGCCUGACGGAGCAACGCCGCGUGAGUGAGGAAGGUCUUCGGAUCGUAAAACUCUGUUAUUAGGGAAGAACAUAUGUGUAAGUAACUGUGCACAUCUUGACGGUACCUAAUCAGAAAGCCACGGCUAACUACGUG